UGCCUGGCUUAGAAUGUAUUUCAUGGUCAGUAGAAAAAAAUGAGGAAGACAAGGGUGCGGCUGCUGCUUUUAGAGGCUCUGGCCAUGCAAACAGAGAUUGGCUUUGAAGUUGCAGUCCUUCAUCGUUACAAAAAGAAGAAUUUUAGGGGGGAAAAUGUGCGUUGCUCCUCUGAAGCUGAAUCCUCAGGCAUUUGUGGCCCGUCUUUGCAGUCCGAUAUGUUUUUUUUCGUGCUUGCAGCGUUGUUAAACAUCAGUGUGCAGAGCAGUUACAACGCAGCUGGUAACACGGCCGUGGGGUUUUUUGCCACUCGUACGCCUGUGCACCAAUGUACACGCUCGCCCUUCUUCACUAAUAUUCCUGAGUGCCUGGAUGUAGCUCCCCUGUCUGUGUGA
Molecule: long non-coding RNA, 393 nt
Filed under: Anas platyrhynchos platyrhynchos (common mallard)
Lineage: Eukaryota; Metazoa; Chordata; Aves; Anseriformes; Anatidae
Description: lncRNA (ENSAPLG00000029955.1)
Source: RNAcentral